CAGGCAGAUUUUCUUCCUUUGGCCACUGUUACUAAGGAAACCACCUCUUGUGCAUGAAUGCAUUGCAGGUGCCUCUUUUUGGGACUGAAUCUGAGAUUACAUCCAGAUAUAAUUUACAAAUUCAAAACUGCAUUGCAGUUUAUUUAACUACUGACAUGACCAGAGAGAUAUUACACAGUGUAAUUAGUUUCCUUUCCCUCUACACCAGAGAAGCUGCUGAAGGAUGAGAUCUUCAGCAAGGAAGUGCCAAGAAAAAUUCCCUUCUUCCCAGCUCUGAAAGAGUGGCUAGUGAUGCAAGUCACACCUGCGGCACACUGGGAAGAGACUGAUUUAAGCACACUUGGAAAAUCACUGAUACUACAGCUACAAAGAAGUGCAUAAAAGCAUCAUGCAUUAAUCACCUAAGUUUACACCUUGUGAUUAUAUACGCCAGAGAAAUACAACAUGUAAUGCUUCAUGAAAAAGAAGACAAGGUUAACUGUGAUGCAAUUGAAGAUGCUGAUAUGCAACACAUCAAGCCUGGUUGCUGGCACGCCUAUCAUCUUCAGGGAACGAGAUCCAGCAACAGAAUUCCAAGCACUGGAAGGGGUUGCUACAGAGCUGGGGCUGGGGAGAGGAAACUGCCUGCUGGAGUGCUUUGUGUCCCUGUGAAGGUACAUUACACAGCAAAUAAUAAAGAACAUUUUAAUAUCAGCUGGCUCAUACUUAGCUUCAUGGGGCAGCCAUCUCAAAGGUAGUUUGUAGUUAUUAUUUUAUGGAAUAAAUUUAGCAUCUUUGUGAGAAAUCUAGGGGUG
Molecule: long non-coding RNA, 794 nt
Filed under: Numida meleagris (helmeted guineafowl)
Lineage: Eukaryota; Metazoa; Chordata; Aves; Galliformes; Numididae
Description: lncRNA (ENSNMEG00000005317.1)
Source: RNAcentral